This 633-nucleotide ribosomal RNA is filed under the name Plumularia obliqua. Its description in RNAcentral is "partial 16S ribosomal RNA". The record is from RNAcentral. Lineage: Eukaryota; Metazoa; Cnidaria; Hydrozoa; Leptothecata; Plumulariidae.
UACGGAAUGAACUCAAAUCAUGUAAGAUAUUUAAAGGACGAACAGUCCUACCCUUGGUAGCUCCUGCUCCACCAGGAAAUCUCAAUUCAACAUCGAGGUGGCAAACUUCAACACCAAUGAGAACUCAUGAUUAAAAUUACCCUGUUAUCCCUAAAGUAGCUUUUAUUUAGUGAUCGUUAAUCCUUUUUUUAAGUGUUAACGGGUCAUUAUAGCCCACGUAGUGAUUGUUAAAUACAUGAAUUAUACAAUAAAGUUAAUUAUUAUUACUAUUGCUUAUUCUUGUUAUGUUUAAAGAACCCUUGCCCCAAGUAAACUACCAACCCAACAAAUUUCUAUUCAAAAAUAUAUAGGGAUAUAGUUAAGCUUUAUAGGGUCUUAUCGUCUUACGAUUUUAAAUAGCAUCUUAACUAUUAUUUUAAUUUUUUUAAUCUAUAUUUGAGACAGUGAAAUUCUCGUUCAACCAUUCAUACUAUCCGCCAAUUAAGCGGCAAUUGAUUGCGCUACAUUAACACGGUCAGGUAUACCGCGGCCGUUUAAUCAGAAUAGUUACUCUUACGUAAGUAUGUUUAGAUCACUGGGCAGGUUACACCUCAGAUUUAUUUAACUGGGGCUAUGUUUUUGGUAAACAGUCGA